RNAcentral lists this ribosomal RNA (460 nucleotides) under uncultured bacterium. RNAcentral describes it as "partial 16S ribosomal RNA". It matches the Rfam family "Bacterial small subunit ribosomal RNA", at positions 338 to 795 of the family's 1533-position model. The record is from RNAcentral.
CCUACGGGAGGCAGCAGUGAGGAAUAUUGGUCAAUGGACGGAAGUCUGAACCAGCCAAGCCGCGUGCGGGAAGACGGCUCUAUGGGUUGUAAACUUCUUUUGUACGGGAAGAAACACUGCUACUCGUAGCCUGAUGAGUGUAUCUUACGAAUAAGGAUCGGCUAACUCCGUGCCAGCAGCCGCGGUAAUACGGAGGAUUCGAGCGUUAUCCGGAUUUAUUGGGUUUAAAGGGUGCGUAGGCGGUCUGAUAAGUUAGAGGUGAAAUCCCGGGGCUCAACCCCGGAAUUGCCUCUGAUACUGUUAGGCUAGAGAGCAGUAGAGGUAGGCGGAAUGUAUGGUGUAGCGGUGAAAUGCUUAGAGAUCACGCAGAACACCGAUUGCGAAGGCAGCUUACCAAGCUACUACUGACGUUGAGGCACGAAAGCGUGGGGAGCAAACAGGAUUAGAUACCCGUGUAGUC